RNAcentral lists this ribosomal RNA (254 nucleotides) under uncultured bacterium. RNAcentral's name for it is "partial 16S ribosomal RNA". It matches the Rfam family "Bacterial small subunit ribosomal RNA", at positions 524 to 776 of the family's 1533-position model. The record is from RNAcentral.
GACGUAGGGCGCGAGCGUUGUCCGGAUUUAUUGGGCGUAAAGAGCUCGUAGGCGGCUUGUUGCGUCGACUGUGAAAACCUGCGGCUCAACCGUGUGGUCUGCAGUCGAUACGGGCAGGCUGGAGUUCGGUAGGGGAGACUGGAAUUCCUGUUGUAGCGGUGAAAUGCGCAGAUAUCAGGAGGAACACCGGUGGCGAAGGCGGGUCUCUGGGCCGAUACUGACGCUGAGGAGCGAAAGCGUGGGGAGCGAACAGG